Molecule: ribosomal RNA, 253 nt
Filed under: uncultured bacterium
Lineage: Bacteria
Description: partial 16S ribosomal RNA
Rfam family: Bacterial small subunit ribosomal RNA
Source: RNAcentral
UACGGGGGGGGCAAGCGUUGUUCGGAAUUACUGGGCGUAAAGGGCUCGUAGGUGGCCAAUUAAGUCAGACGUGAAAUCCCCAGGCUUAACCUGGGAACUGCGUCUGAUACUGGUUGGCUUGAAUUCGGGAGAGGGAUGUGGAAUUCCAGGUGUAGCGGUGAAAUGCGUAGAUAUCUGGAGGAACACCGGUGGCGAAGGCGACAUCCUGGACCGGUAUUGACGCUGAGGCGCGAAAGCCAGGGGAGCAAACGGG